This 253-nucleotide ribosomal RNA is filed under the name uncultured bacterium. Its description in RNAcentral is "partial 16S ribosomal RNA". It matches the Rfam family "Bacterial small subunit ribosomal RNA", at positions 524 to 776 of the family's 1533-position model. The record is from RNAcentral.
UACGUAGGGUGCAAGCGUUAAUCGGAAUUACUGGGCGUAAAGCGUGCGCAGGCGGUUAUGCAAGACAGAUGUGAAAUCCCCGGGCUUAACCUGGGAACUGCAUUUGUGACUGCACGGCUAGAGUGUGUCAGAGGGGGGUAGAAUUCCACGUGUAGCAGUGAAAUGCGUAGAUAUGUGGAGGAAUACCGAUGGCGAAGGCAGCCCCCUGGGAUAACACUGACGCUCACGCACGAAAGCGUGGGGAGCAAACAGG